This 292-nucleotide ribosomal RNA is filed under the name uncultured bacterium. Its description in RNAcentral is "partial 16S ribosomal RNA". The record is from RNAcentral.
GGACUACUGGGGUAUCUAAUCCUGUUUGCUCCCCACGCUUUCGCACCUCAGCGUCAAUUCACGUCCAGUAAGCCGCCUUCGCCACUGGUGUUCUUCCGAAUAUCUACGAAUUUCACCUCUACACUCGGAAUUCCACUUACCUCUCCGUGAUUCUAGCUAUCUAGUUUCAAAGGCAAUUCCGGGGUUGAGCCCCGGGCUUUCACCUCUGACUUGAAUAGCCGCCUACGUGCGCUUUACGCCCAGUAAUUCCGAACAACGCUAGCCCCCUCCGUAUUACCGCGGCGGCUGGCAC